GACAGAGGUCCCGAGCGUUAGGCGGAAUCACUGGGCUUAAAGCGUGUGUAGGCGGACUUCUAAGUACCUUGUGAAAUCCCACGGCUCAACCGUGGAACUGCUUGGUAUACUGGUUGUCUUGGGCCAUCUAGGGGCGAGCGGAACAAACGGUGGAGCGGUGAAAUGCGUAGAUAUCGUUUGGAACGCCAAUGGUGAAAACAGCUCGCUGGGGAUGUGCCGACGCUGAGACACGAAAGCCAGGGGAGCGAACGGGG
RNAcentral lists this ribosomal RNA (254 nucleotides) under uncultured bacterium. RNAcentral's name for it is "partial 16S ribosomal RNA". It matches the Rfam family "Bacterial small subunit ribosomal RNA", at positions 524 to 777 of the family's 1533-position model. The record is from RNAcentral.